UUCCCAUCUCUCCCUCAUAACUUUUCACGUUGGCGUGGCGCAGGUUCAGCGUGUACAAAGGGAAGCGCGUAGGGACGACCUUCUCCCACAUUGGCGGGUGGAAAUGGUAACUGAUGUCGUGUACGGGCGCACUGGUAAUUUAAAGUGACCCGCACGGAAUCCGGAGAGGGCUGCUUUACAGUACUUUUAGAAAACAAGAAUGUAAACUACAUCGGCCCCCGAGAAAAGCUGUCGGAUGAGCGUGUGGUUCACCAGAGUAUCGAAGGAGGGCAAAGGCUUAUGACUGGGAGUCUGGCUGCUUUCUCAAACUCAGACCAGAGCCAGUGACAGCACCACAGCCAGCUUUCAGUAAUCUGGAAAAUCCCUCGUUUCCAAAAAUAGGGCCAGAAUUUUACAGAGGUAAAUUGAUUAGGCCCGGGACUCUGUAUUCAUACGUAGUCAUCUCAGGUAGAAUGAGAGAGAACAAUCUCAUUUAGAUUUUUUCCCUCAGUGAUACUAACUAGCAAUUCCCAGAAUUUCCUCAAAUUUGAAGUAAAAACAAUGAUAAUUAUUUAAAUUACUGGAGUCUAGAGAUGGAGGGAAAGGGAAUAAAUCUUGAUUUACUCUAACCAUCUUUUUUAUCCCACACUUGACCCUCUGAGAAUUAUCCCCAGAUGAGAAGUCCCAUUACCUUUUUAUUACAUAGCUCAGUUUUAAGGUUUAAUUUGUUUAAUUAUGAGAACUGUAUUGAAAUGUGCACCUGUAGAGCAGAGGGAAUUUGAAUACAUUUCAGUAUUUGUCAAUGAUUGUCACUAAAGCAAAACAUAUUUAAAAACCUCAUUUAAAAAAAAAGCAUUGUCAACCUUACUUAGUAAAACCUUAGAUCAGUAGUUCUGAACCCUAGCUGUACAUUGGAAUCCUCUGAGGAGCUUUUAAAACAUCCUGAUGCCUGGGCCUUACCUGCAGAAACUGAUAAAAUUGAUUUGGGAUGGCCCAGAUUGGUUGGAUUUUGCCCAUCUUCCAGUUCACCCAAGAAGGUGUAAAUCUGGUGCUGGUUAAAGCAGUUAACCUCUCUGUGUGUCAUCUCUUUACUUUUCUGACUAGGCUGCUUCCAGGGCAACUUCCCUUGCCAAUGAUCAGGAGGGUCUUAAAAUACUAUAACAACCUAUAAUCUUUAAAAACUAAUUGAUAAUAUGCUAUUUCCCUGGUUCUUAUAAUCUAUGGUUAUGUAGGGUAGGGAAAGCUGGGUGAAUGGUGCACAGGAACUCUACUAUUUUUGCAACUUCUUGUGAGUCUUCAAUUAUUUAAUAAAAUUAAUUUGUUAUAUGCUUCAAUGAAAUCACCUAUGUUUAUAAUGACCUGAGACUAAUACAGUUUAACUUAUUUUUAGGACUAUUAAUGCAAAUUGUUUUUCUCUUUAUAGGGUCUUCCAUCAUGCCUCUCCAAAAAGUUCACUUGGUGAUGUCUUGAUAUGCAUCAUAAUAUAUUUUUAUUCUCUAAGUCCGUGAUUAAUCCAAAAAAGUUGACAAGCAUACAAAGAAGUUCUGGGAGGAGCAGGGGUUACUUGCUCUACUCUUCAUAUCUUUUCUCAGUGGACCUCCCUGCUCCCCACCUCCUGUACCUGGUAAUCAUUUCCAGAAGAUCAGAACCACCACUUUUCCAUAACUUUGUGCCUAUUUACCACUCCUGUCUGACUGAACCUCAGAUUAUAUCCAAGAGGUAAUAACUAUUUUCACUGUUCCUCCCUUCAGAUUCAACAAAUGUGGUUGAGGAGGCGAAAGCCACGCGAUCCUUUGCCCUUUGUUCCCUUUCACAAUAAGGAACCUCAUAACAUUUUGCCUGCUUUGGGAUACGCGAACUUAAACAAGGCAUUAUUAUGGCAUUUACACUUUUUAGGAGAGGACUCAGGUGAUAACUCACUCCGCCUGCUGUUCAAGCGCGAUCUCAGAUCUAGAGGACAGGAGUGUUUCCCGAGGGUUGUACCGCUGGAGGACGGCCCGAAGGGGGCUGGUCAGUUGGCAAGUCCGUUUCCUCUUUCAACGAACUCGCACCGUUAGACCCGUGACCUGAGUGUAUCCAGCCGCCCAUCCGGGUCCGGCUGUCCUCACCGAGCCCGACGGUGCUCAGCCCUGGAACAAUCGCUAUUAGCUCUGCCACUGAACACGGGCAAGACUUGGCUGGGCUGCCCUGGGAUCGGGAGGGCGAAAAGAUUUCACAACGGUCGAGAGGGCGGAGCGCGCCCACUUCGUCAUUUCUAGGAAGCCUCGAGCCUGCUAGGCCGCAGGGGCCAACAGGAAGUGCCGCUCACCGGACCAAGGGACCGCAAGUCUAGGGCCACCUCGCGCACGCGCGCCGCGCCCUUCCUUCCCGUGACUGCGGCCGAGCGGCUCCCUCCGCCAACUGCCGGAU
Manis pentadactyla (Chinese pangolin) is the source of this 2388-nucleotide long non-coding RNA. RefSeq lists it as uncharacterized. The transcript is spliced from 2 exons. The record is from RefSeq and is a predicted model, not a curated record. Lineage: Eukaryota; Metazoa; Chordata; Mammalia; Pholidota; Manidae.